Molecule: small nucleolar RNA, 145 nt
Filed under: Schizosaccharomyces octosporus yFS286
Lineage: Eukaryota; Fungi; Ascomycota; Schizosaccharomycetes; Schizosaccharomycetales; Schizosaccharomycetaceae
Source: RNAcentral
GCCAAAGGUCUCUUUUACCAAUUGCAGUCCUGGCUAACGGCAAUGAGGUUGUAAUUAAAUGGCUUGAGACCAAGAAGGAAUCACCUUUCUCAAUCCGAUUUACGCUUACGAAUAGUUUUAUCGGUUCGCUUUCUGGUGUACAAAC